AUGCGGCGGGCUCGGGCCGCGGGGCUGGCGGCGCUGGCUGUGCUGCUCAGCGUGACUUCAGGCAGAGCCCAGGUACAGCAGGAGCCAUUCCUGGAAACCACCGAGGGCACCGGCAUCAACAUCACCUGCACACAUACCAAGAAAGUGAGCUCCGAUUACAUCCAUUUCUACCGUCAGCUCCCCGGCCAAGCACCUGAAUUCCUGGCACUCGCUGCUAGAAGCUCCAAGCCACUGUCGGACAUUGCAGGAUCGCUGUCGGUGUCAGAGGACGGGCGUUCGAGCUGGCUGUGGCUCGCUGAGCCCCGGCGCGGGGACGCGGCCGUGUAUUACUGCGCGCUGGGGGCCACGGGCAGAGGAGCCGGGGCUGCGGCCGGGCACGAACCGCCGCGGGCGGGGCCGGGCGGGGCCAGCAGGGGGCGCUGCCGCUCCGCCCGCCGGGGCCGCCGAGCCCCGCUUGUUCCGGGCUGCCGCCACCGGCACUGA
This is a non-coding RNA of Zonotrichia leucophrys gambelii, 483 nucleotides long. The record is from the annotation of a RefSeq genome assembly. NCBI's taxonomy places the organism in Eukaryota, Metazoa, Chordata, Aves, Passeriformes, Passerellidae.